Non-coding RNA from Leptonychotes weddellii (Weddell seal), 294 nucleotides. Lineage: Eukaryota; Metazoa; Chordata; Mammalia; Carnivora; Phocidae. The record is from RefSeq and is a predicted model, not a curated record.
GCCCAGCCGCUGCGUUCCCCGACGGCCGCUGGGAGGACUGCCGAGUGACUGAGCCCAGGGCUGUGCAGUCGGACGCUGACGGCCGCGAGCGGGCGACGCCGGGCUUGCAGCGCCGAGCAGAAAGCAAAGCCAGCAGGGCAUCUUCUAGGAUUCCUAAUCUGAGGAGCCACUCCCGAAAACGCUGCUCUGGUCCCAGCCUGUCAUUGGACAGGGAGCUCCAGGACCGGCAGGAUGGGGUCAGCCUGUAUCAAAGUCACCAAAUACUUUCUCUUCCUCUUCAACUUGCUCUUCUUU